CCUUUGCAAGGCGCCCAUCUUUGCAGUAUCUGUAUCUUGGAUUAUCCAGGACCAGGAGCUACAGAUACUAACAGCAGGCCUUGUUCUAUGCUCUACACCAGUGGUUCUUAACCUGGGGUGCACGCACCCCCUUGGAGUGCGAGAUGCUCUUUCUGGGGGUGCGAGACAUGCCAGCUUUUUUUAGAAGGUAAAUCAUCGAAAACACAAAUUAAGCACAGGCACUGUGUCAGAGACAAGGACAGAAAGUUCCAACCAGGACCAUGCAAUGUUGAGAAGGAACUGGAGAUGCGGUCAACCCGCUCCACCCUUUAUGACCUCAGACAGAAGAACGAGGCAAGCCAAGGCACACUGUGCGGACUAACGGAUACUACUUCCAAAUUAUCCAGCUCCAGACGCACAGUGCUCAUGCGUAACCCUCAGAGGAAUUCAAUAGGGACCAUCACAACUAGAUAAUACUCCAGCAGUGGUCGCACCACUGCUAAAUACAGAGGUCAUUAACAUGUUAAAUAGCGCAGGGACAAGAACCAAUCCCUGUGGUGGCACUGGAAACUGACUCGGUUGAUGAGUUCCCACUGACAGUGACAUUUGAGAUCUAUCAGUUAGCCAGUUUUUAAUCUAUUUUAUGUGUGCCAUCAUGUUAAUUUUAUAUCAUUCUAGAUUUUUUAUUAAAAAUGUCAUGUGGCACCAAGUCAAAAACCUUA
Molecule: long non-coding RNA, 701 nt
Organism: Mauremys mutica (yellowpond turtle)
Lineage: Eukaryota; Metazoa; Chordata; Testudines; Geoemydidae
Exons: 3
Source: RefSeq, a predicted model, not a curated record